Molecule: ribosomal RNA, 477 nt
Filed under: uncultured bacterium
Lineage: Bacteria
Description: partial 16S ribosomal RNA
Rfam family: Bacterial small subunit ribosomal RNA
Source: RNAcentral
GAUGAACGCUGGCGGCGUGCUUAACACAUGCAAGUCGAACGGGAAACCUUUUAAUGAAGCUUCGGCAGAUUUAGCUGGUUUCUAGUGGCGGACGGGUGAGUAACGCGUGGGUAACCUGCCUUAUACAGGGGGAUAACAGUCAGAAAUGACUGCUAAUACCGCAUAAGCGCACAGGACCGCAUGGUCCGGUGUGAAAAACUCCGGUGGUAUAAGAUGGACCCGCGUUGGAUUAGCUUGUUGGUGGGGUAACGGCUCACCAAGGCGACGAUCCAUAGCCGGCCUGAGAGGGUGAACGGCCACAUUGGGACUGGGACACGGCCCAGACUCCUACGGGAGGCAGCAGUGGGGAAUAUUGCACAAUGGGGGAAACACUGAUGCAGCGACGCCGCGUGAAGGAAGAAGUAUCUCGGUAUGUAAACUUCUAUCAGCAGGGAAGAUAGGGACGGUACCUGACUAAGAAGCCCCGGCUAACUACGU